Molecule: ribosomal RNA, 603 nt
Filed under: Triticum aestivum (bread wheat)
Lineage: Eukaryota; Viridiplantae; Streptophyta; Magnoliopsida; Poales; Poaceae
Description: partial small subunit ribosomal RNA
Source: RNAcentral
AUGGCGGAAAGAUACAACACCGACGUCAUUAUGGACGACGGCACCAUCAUUCAUACCACCGUGACGUCCUGGUCCCUCGACGUCCAGCGCUUCAUAAAGGAGGUGCAGGGGUCCCAGAUCCGCAUCACCGGCCUCGACGCCGAGUGGCGGCCCAACCGCAAGAGAGGCGCCGGACAAAACCCGAUCGCCGUCCUCCAGCUCUGCGUGGGCCGCCGCUGCCUCGUGUACCAGAUCAUCCACGGCACCGGCAUCCCCAUCUCGCUGUGCAGCUUUCUCUACCUCUCUGGCUUCACCUUCGUCGGCGUCGGGAUUGCCGAUGACGCGAAACGCCUGCGUGCCGAGUACAGCCUUGAGGUGUCCAACAUGGUCGACCUGAGGGAGUUGGCGGCGAACUCACCACACCGGCCGCGGCCGGAGCUGCGGUCGGCUGGGCUGAAAGCCAGGGCGCUCGCGGUGAUGGGGGCGCACAUCCCGAAGCCGCCAGAGGUGACGAUGAGCGACUGGACCGCGCCGUCGCAGUCGAGGGAGCAGGUCGAGUACGCCUGCAUCGACGCCUACGUCUCCUUCGAGAUCGGUCGCCGGCUGCUCACUCGUAAUUACUAA